AAUAAUUUCCAAUUUCACUCUUUAAAAUAAUUUUCCUUUUUUUCUGAUAUAUCUUUACCACUAAUUAUAAUCAUUUGAUACAUAUGAUUCAGUUCAAUUCCCUGCAGUAAAUCCUUGUCAUUUUGAAUAGGUUUAAAGGUACACAUUAGAUCCUAAAUUCAAAUAUUUCUAUUCUUAUAUUUACUAAAAUGUGGAAGCAAUGCCUUACAUUUUCCACUCUUAUUUAGAAUGGACAAAUAAAAGAAGCCAGUGCUUGUAAACCCAUAUUUUUGGGUGAUAUUCCAGUGUUCUUAAUUUUGGAUUUCCCAGUCUUAGAGAUUAGAUUUUGAAGAAUGAGACAGUAUGUUAAACUGAAAGAAGACUCAGUGCCAAAUGACAUGCUUUCAUCAACUGAUUAGAAUUUUUUUCUAUUCAUUUUACCCUGAUUUCAUUUCUAACUACUUUCUUUUUAGCUGUUCAGCACUUUCUAAUCUUUUAAAGCAAAGGAAUGGAUGGCACAUACACACAAAAGGAAAAAUAAAUAGAGCUGCCAUUCCUGAAUUUCACUAUUUUGCAGUCAGGAAUACAGGGUUAUAAACUCUAGUAACACAAAGUAUUUCCUUUGAGUAAAAGGGAAAAAAAAAAACACUAAUAACUAUGAACUAAGUACACCCUUUGGUGCAUGCAGGACAAACAAUAUUUUUCCUGGCAUGUAUCUAAUCCUUCAGAGGUAAAAGCUUCUCUGUGAAGAGUUGAUCACAAUACCAACAUCUUCUGCCAUUAACAUAACAAAUGCUAAAUUUAAAACAAAGACAUUUUCAUUUCAACAAUAUGAGAAAAUUAUGAGAUAUUUCUGGCCCAUGGGACCAGAGUUUAUCGUAAACCUAGGAUGUGCUUCUGAGACACCAACUCUGAGAAUUAACUCCUUCUGAAUGAGCCCAGACCACUGCUGUGUCCUGUAAGACAGACAGUGGUCACCCAAAAGCAUGGGACUCUGAGGCUACAGACAGACUUCAUCCAACCUUCACUUCA
Manis pentadactyla (Chinese pangolin) is the source of this 1011-nucleotide long non-coding RNA. RefSeq lists it as uncharacterized. NCBI's taxonomy places the organism in Eukaryota, Metazoa, Chordata, Mammalia, Pholidota, Manidae. The record is from RefSeq and is a predicted model, not a curated record. The transcript has 2 exons.